Acanthopagrus latus (yellowfin seabream) is the source of this 733-nucleotide long non-coding RNA. RefSeq lists it as uncharacterized. NCBI's taxonomy places the organism in Eukaryota, Metazoa, Chordata, Actinopteri, Spariformes, Sparidae. The transcript has 5 exons. The record is from RefSeq and is a predicted model, not a curated record.
CUGCACCUGAGACUGGCUUGUAGUUGCUACUGAGACUGCUUAAUGUGGUUGUGGUAGACGCCUUGUCAUUUGUUGUGUUAACAGACUCCAUUUCUAAACUAACAUGAGCUACGGUUGCACUCUGUUAGCCAAGCGGAGAGAGGCACUGAGACGGGGCACUCAUGUGGAUCAAGCCAACCAGAGUCGUUCACAAAGAAAUCCACAGUCCAGCACCAUUUAACAACUUACACAAAUCGUCCACAGCCAAGAUUGCAGUCUGUGAUCUUAUCAAGAUGCACUGUCUGGGGCUGCUCUAUUGAAACUAAACGGGGCGAGCUGCUGUGAACCCCUGAACGGGUUUUUGUCCAGGCUCUACACACAAUACCAACCUCAGCUUAUUGGAUUAAUUCAACAUGAGUAAUGCAGCGUAUUGAAAGCUAUUGUUUGCUGAAGUGGGGAAGUGUGCCAAUCGAUCACGAGGCACACCAAAAUACCAAUGCUGAGGAGGUGUAUUAAAACGAAUCCCCGCAGCCUGGAUUUACGGGACAUAAGAAAGAUCCAUGAGGAAGAAUAAGUGAAACAGAGGGCAUCGAAACUCUUCCACCACUUCUUAUCAGCAGCUGCCCCUGAUCACGAGGUUCCAGCUGUGAUUCCCUUUUCUGCACUGAUGCCUCGGAAAAUAAAGACGAUAAGACUCCAGCGGGGCCACAUUCAUUUAAAGAGAAAAAUUAAAACCACUAUACAAUGUCAUGCA